This 111-nucleotide ribosomal RNA is filed under the name uncultured bacterium. RNAcentral's name for it is "partial 16S ribosomal RNA". It matches the Rfam family "Bacterial small subunit ribosomal RNA", at positions 1363 to 1482 of the family's 1533-position model. The record is from RNAcentral.
UGAAUACGUUCCCGGACCUUGCACACACCGCCCGUCAAGCCAUGGAAGCUGGGUGUACCUAAAGUCGGUAACCGUAAGGAGCCGCCUAGGGUAAAACUAGUGACUGGGGCU